GUCGGUACUUUAAGAGGAUUUGUCUCGUUAACCCCUCGUGUCCGACACCGGCGUCGGUCACGAGUUAGGGGUGUUACAAUUUUAUUGGUAUCAGAGCUAUGGUUUAGUCGGUUCUAGGACUACCAUAGCGCGUGUGAGUCUAGCUAUACAUGCCAAAUUGUUAGCGCUUAAUAAUGUGAUGACUUCUGACGGUUGAAAUUUUUGUUUUGAUUAGCGAUGGAACCCGGGGUAGAGAGACCCUUGGCGGAUGACGUUGAAAGUGUAGCGGCUGCUCCUGCGCAAGGGACACCGCCUGUUGAGCCUCAGUCAUCCGCGAAUAAUCAAAAUGAAGGGGCGAAACAAGCCUUCUUCACCAAGAUGAAUGAGUGGGUCGCGCAAUAUGCCCGAACCAACCCGGCUGUCCAACCAUUCCCGAAUUUAAAUACUCCACCCCAAGAGCCCGCAAUGCCUCCAGUUACUGAUCCUGUGAGGCUGAGUAAACCACCUGUGGACUUGAUUAGGAAGCGUGGGGCCGAGGAGUUCAAGGCCAUAGUUACUGAUGAUGCCGAAAAGGCCGAGUUCUUUAGGAGUCAUGCCUUAUAUGUAAAGAUUCCAUUUUGAGUCUAGUUUCAUUAGAAACAAACGGCACCAGUAUUAAAGCCCUGUACAGAAAGAUAUUCAAGUUGUAACGCGCGGAGGUCAGAGCAGUCGAUCCCUGUAACAUGGGUGACUUUAACUAAUAAACUGUACCAAUUGGCCCAACCAAAAAUUCUAAAAAUAAAUCCAUGGAUGGGUAUAUGAGUCUAAAUUCAGGGAAAAUUUACGAAACCAGUUUCCGAGUUUUGGAACUCGAGAUAUGAUUUUUAAGGCGACGGUGACGCAGUUUUCCAGCCUGUCCAGAAAUGCCAAAUUGGUCGGUACUUUAAGAGGAUUUGUCUCGUUAACCCGUCGUGUCCGACACCGGCGUCGGUCACGAGUUAGGGGUGUUACAGGAUCCAGCGGCUGGAAGAGCACCGCACGUCGCGUGGUGUCCUGCGCGCCCCCGGCGGCCCAUGAAAAUUUGGAGGACCGAGUGCCGUCUGCGCCCGGUCGUACUCAUAACCGCAUUAGGUCCCUAAGGUGAACAGCCUCUGAUCAAUGGAACAAUGUAGGCAAGGGAAGUCAGUAAAAUAAAUCCGUAACCUCAGGAAAAGGAUUGGCUUUGAGGGCUGGGCACGGAGGUGCCGGUCCUAAACCCGUCAGCUACCGGUGCACUACUCGAGCUACUUUCACGGCGAGAGCGGGUCGUCGCGUGCUGGACGGAGGACGGACGGCCUUCUCCGGGUGAUGAACAGUCGACUCAGAACUGGUACGGAUAAGGGGAAUUCGACUGUUUAAUUAAAACAAAGCAUUGAGAUGGUCCCUGCGGAUGCUCACGCAAUUUGAUUUCUGCCCAAUGCUCUGAAUGUCAAAGUGAAAAAAUUCAACCAAGCGCGGGUAAACAGCGAGAGUAACUAUGACUCUCUUAAGGUAGCCAAGUGCCUCAUCAUCUAAUUAGUGACGCGCAUGAAUGGGUUAAUGAGAUUCCCACUGUCCCUGUCUACUAUCCAGUGAAACCACAGCCAAGGGAACGGGCUUGGCAGAAUUAGCGGGGUAAGAAGACCCUGUUGAGCUUGACUCUAGUCCGACUUUAUGAAAUGACUUGAGAGGUGUAGGAUAAGUGGGAGCUCUCGGGCGAAACUGAAAUACCACUACUUUUAACGUUAUUUUACUUAUUUUGUGAAUCGGAGGUGGGGGACGGCCCCUCUUUUUGGACCUAAAGUCUGCUUCGGUCGGCCGAUCCGGGCCAAAGAAAUUGUCAGGCGGGGAGUUUGGCUGGAGCGGCACAUCUGUUAAAAGAUAACAACAAGAAUAGAAAUCUCGUGUGGAACAAAAGGGUGAAAGCUCGUUUGAUUCUGAUUUUCAAGCUAGAGGAGUCAGAAAGUUACCACAGGGAUAACUGGCUUGUGGCAGCCAAGCGUUCAUAGCGACGAUGCUUUCUGAUCCUUCGAUGUCGGCUCUUCCUACCAUUGUGAAGCAGAAUUCACCAAGUGUUGGAUUGUUCACCCACCAAUAGGGAACGUGAGAUGGGUUUAGACCAUCGUGAGACAGGUUAAUUUUACCCUAUUGAUGGCCGUGUCGCAAUAGUAAUUCAACCUAGUACGAGAGAAACCGUUGAUUCGCACAAUUGGUCAUUGCGCUUGGUUGAAAAGCCAGUGGCGCGAAGCUACUAUGCGCUGGAUUAUGACUGAAUGCCUCUAAGUCAGAAUCUGGGCUAGAAGCGACGCACGCGUCCGUCGCCAGAUUACCGACCUGUAGUAGGGGCCUUUGGCCCCCAAGGGCACGUGUCGUAGUUGCAGCGGCCGCGGUGGACAAGUCGCGGGCUCCUUCUUCGAGCGUAAUUCCCACCAAGCGGCGAGUAGAAUCCUUU
This 2428-nucleotide ribosomal RNA is filed under the name Gossypium arboreum. RNAcentral describes it as "eukaryotic LSU rRNA". The stretch from base 567 to 2428 matches the Rfam family "Eukaryotic large subunit ribosomal RNA". The record is from RNAcentral. Lineage: Eukaryota; Viridiplantae; Streptophyta; Magnoliopsida; Malvales; Malvaceae.